GAUGAACGCUGGCGGCGUGCCUAAUACAUGCAAGUCGAGCGAACAGACGAGGAGCUUGCUCCUCUGACGUUAGCGGCGGACGGGUGAGUAACACGUGGAUAACCUACCUAUAAGACUGGGAUAACUUCGGGAAACCGGAGCUAAUACCGGAUAAUAUAUUGAACCGCAUGGUUCAAUAGUGAAAGACGGUUUUGCUGUCACUUAUAGAUGGAUCCGCGCCGCAUUAGCUUGUUGGUAAGGUAACGGCUUACCAAGGCAACGAUGCGUAGCCGACCUGAGAGGGUGAUCGGCCACACUGGAACUGAGACACGGUCCAGACUCCUACGGGAGGCAGCAGUAGGGAAUCUUCCGCAAUGGGCGAAAGCCUGACGGAGCAACGCCGCGUGAGUGAUGAAGGUCUUCGGAUCGUAAAACUCUGUUAUUAGGGAAGAACAAAUGUGUAGGUAACUAUGCACGUCUUGACGGUACCUAAUCAGAAAGCCACGGCUAACUACGUG
RNAcentral lists this ribosomal RNA (497 nucleotides) under uncultured bacterium. Its description in RNAcentral is "partial 16S ribosomal RNA". It matches the Rfam family "Bacterial small subunit ribosomal RNA", at positions 28 to 507 of the family's 1533-position model. The record is from RNAcentral.